UGACGUUGACCAAGUUUUUCAAUGGCGAUAAGAGAAUGAACAGGAUAACAUGUGGAUCUCACAUGUCAUUCUCUCUCUGCUAGGAUGAAUUUGCGAGGACUAUUUUAAAUAGUAUAGGUAGAGAAAACAACCAAAAAAAUAGUAGUAGCUAGCCAUAAUUUGGAUAGUGGAGGGCAACCAAGCACAUGAGAGGAGGGAAAUGGCACAAUGAGAGAAAAUAGGCACAAGUGAACUGUAUAGACACGCACUGGCG
This 253-nucleotide long non-coding RNA is filed under the name Sorghum bicolor (sorghum). Its description in RNAcentral is "long non-coding RNA (SBIC_LNC018214)". The record is from RNAcentral. Lineage: Eukaryota; Viridiplantae; Streptophyta; Magnoliopsida; Poales; Poaceae.